Grus americana (Whooping crane) is the source of this 432-nucleotide long non-coding RNA. RefSeq lists it as uncharacterized. Lineage: Eukaryota; Metazoa; Chordata; Aves; Gruiformes; Gruidae. The record is from RefSeq and is a predicted model, not a curated record. The transcript is spliced from 3 exons.
UUAAAGAAAGAUACGUUAAAAAAAACAAAAAAAACCCCAGGCGUACUUUUGUGAGGAGGAGAAAGAAAGAGAUCGUUAAUAGACGAUGAUGCCAGACUGCAUCCUCAGCACCGAAUAAAAAUAGGAGGACUGGACUUCCAGGAGGGUGUUCACUCUUCCAGCAAGCUGCGAGGCGGUUUCAGAGCUGCAAGAAAACAGGAAGGGUAUUUAGCACCAAAAAGAAGUGGCGAUGCCACGUCGAAGUGAAAAAGCAAUCAAUAAGAGCCUUAACGGAGCAGCACGAUACUUACACGGUUUUAACCAUGGAAGGUCUUUGUUAGAACAUGGGCCGCCUGUUGGAGAACUCAAGGGAUGAGAUGGAUGGGUCCAACCUUGACCUUCAGCUCCGGAGAGCCCAGUUAUACACUGGGGGAAGACUCACACACACCGCCA